Molecule: ribosomal RNA, 451 nt
Filed under: uncultured marine bacterium
Lineage: Bacteria
Description: bacterial SSU rRNA
Rfam family: Bacterial small subunit ribosomal RNA
Source: RNAcentral
AAUUUUGGGCAAUGGGCGAAAGCCUGACCCAGCAACGCCGCGUGAGGGAGGAAAUCCUUCGGGAUGUAAACCUCACAAGCAAGGGAAGAGCGCGAGGGGGCGAAUAACCCUCUCGUCCGACGGUACCUUGCGUAAGCCACGGCUAACUACGUGCCAGCAGCCGCGGUAAUACGUAGGUGGCAAGCGUUGUUCGGAAUUAUUGGGCGUAAAGGGCGCGUAGGCGGCAGAUCAAGUCAGUUGUGAAAUCUCCGAGCUUAACUCGGAACUGUCAGCUGAUACUGUUUUGCUAGAGUGCGGAAGGGGCAAUCGGAAUUCUUGGUGUAGCGGUGAAAUGCGUAGAUAUCAAGAGGAACACCUGAGGUGAAGACGGGUUGCUGGGCCGACACUGACGCUGAGUGCGCGAAAGCCAGGGGAGCAAACGGGAUUAGAUACCCCGGUAGUCCUGGCCUUA